UGAGUCCUACGGGAGGCAGCAGUGAGGAAUAUUGGUCAAUGGGCGGGAGCCUGAACCAGCCACGCCGCGUGAAGGAAGAAGGCGCCGGGCGUCGUAAACUUCUUUUGUCGGGGAACAAAGGGCGCCACGCGUGGCGUUGUGAGUGUACCCGAAGAAAAAGCAUCGGCUAACUCCGUGCCAGCAGCCGCGGUAAUACGGAGGAUGCGAGCGUUAUCCGGAUUUAUUGGGUUUAAAGGGUGCGUAGGCGGUCCGGAAAGUCAGCGGUAGAAGCCCGGGGCUCAACCCCGGCGAGCCGUUGCAACUGG
RNAcentral lists this ribosomal RNA (305 nucleotides) under uncultured bacterium. RNAcentral describes it as "bacterial SSU rRNA". It matches the Rfam family "Bacterial small subunit ribosomal RNA", at positions 333 to 636 of the family's 1533-position model. The record is from RNAcentral.